AUGCUUGUUAGACUUUGAGCCACACAUUUACUAUUUACUGCUUAUGAGCAUUGAGUAUGGUCAAGCUGUGUAGACCCUUAGGAGCUUGUCAUGUAGUUAAAUCAAGAUUUCACUUGCACGUUCACUCAUAUAUGCUACUUCUACUCCGGAAGUAUCAACCACAUAUAUCCACCCAUUUCCAUCUCCAGAAUCACCCAAAAAUAUUCUACUCCUAUUCCGGGAGAGAAUAGCCAAAAAUAUUUCUGUUUUCCCUUGUGAAAUAAAUGCUCAAGUUAUCUUGUUACUACCACUUGCUAUAUUAUCUCAAGAGAUGAGUGCUCUAAAAAAAAUACGAGGAAAUAAAACGGAGCAAGUGCUCGGAACCUCAAAAGAAAAGAAAAAGAGAGACGAGAGGUAAAAAUGGACAAGUGUCCGACAGUAGAAUUAGGGGUACAAGAUACCCACUUGAGAGAAAAGAAAAAGAAGAGCAUCUCAUUCUCCUCAUAAAGUUUUAAAAAGCAAGGAAGGUAUGUAUCCCCUCAAAGAGCAAAGUAGAAUUAGACUUCCACCAUUGUUAUCACCAUUAUCACCAUACACCAUUCAUUCACCACACAUGCACAUCUUGAUGUGACUUAUUGAUUUGUUUCUUUGGAUCCAUGGUUUGACUAUGCAAUAAAUGUCUUAUAAAGUAUGUAUACUUUAUCUCCCACCUAUGAGCUCUAGAUAUUAAAGCCUUAUUAGAGUAGGGUGAGAGAGAAGGCAAUGUCACUAUGCUUUAUACCACAAAUACUACAUAUCUUGAGAGAAGGCAUAUACCAUCACUGCCUAGGUAAGGAUCCAGAAAUACCACAAAAGAGAGAUCUGAGAGAAUCAUACAAGGAAUUCUGAGUUUUAUUUGAAAAUCUACAAAAACUCCAGAGCUAUAGCUGAUCAAGAAUAAGAGACAUGGCACUUGACUAGACUGUUCUAUCUUUUAACCUCUUAAGACAGAAGUGACGGUUACAAGUCCCAUGGUGCAGGUAAAGUAAGUAAGUUUUAAGUCUUGACAGUUUACUCUAACUCAG
Molecule: long non-coding RNA, 1043 nt
Filed under: Sorghum bicolor (sorghum)
Lineage: Eukaryota; Viridiplantae; Streptophyta; Magnoliopsida; Poales; Poaceae
Description: long non-coding RNA (SBIC_LNC008483)
Source: RNAcentral